GCCUGUAGUCCCAGCUACUCAGGAGGCUGAGGCAGGAGAAUUGCUUGAACCCGGGAGGCAGAAGUUGCAGUGAGCCAAGACAGUACCACUGCACUUCAGCUUGGGUGAUAGAGCAAGACUUUCUCU
Molecule: long non-coding RNA, 126 nt
Organism: Cebus imitator (Panamanian white-faced capuchin)
Lineage: Eukaryota; Metazoa; Chordata; Mammalia; Primates; Cebidae
Exons: 2
Source: RefSeq, a predicted model, not a curated record